GAUGAACGCUGGCGGCGUGCUUAACACAUGCAAGUCGAACGGAAAGGCCCUGCUUUUGUGGUGUGCUCGAGUGGCGAACGGGUGAGUAACACGUGAGUAACCUGCCCUGUACUGUGGGAUAACUUCAGGAAACGGUGGCUAAUACCGGAUAGGAGCAGCUGCUGCAUGGUGAGGGUUGGAAAGGGGCGGCGGGUGGGGUAGGACAUGCGGCUGAGCAGCUUGUGGUUGGGGGAGUGGAUUCGGAAGGCUUUGACGGGGAGCCGGCCUGAGAGGGUGACCGGCCACAUUGGGACUGAGAUAGGGCCCAGACUCCUACGGGAGGCAGCAGUGGGGAAUAUUGCACAAUGGGCGGAAGCCUGAUGCAGCAACGCCGCGUGCGGGAUGACGGCCUUCGGGUUGUAACCCGCUUUCGCCUGUGACGAAGCGUGAGUGACGGUAAUGGGUAAAGAAGCACCGGCUAACUACGUG
RNAcentral lists this ribosomal RNA (468 nucleotides) under uncultured bacterium. RNAcentral describes it as "partial 16S ribosomal RNA". It matches the Rfam family "Bacterial small subunit ribosomal RNA", at positions 28 to 507 of the family's 1533-position model. The record is from RNAcentral.